UCCGGUGUGGUCUAGUGGCUAGGAUAUCUGGCUUUCACCCAUAAGGCCCGGAUUUAAUUCCCGGCGUCGGAA
Molecule: transfer RNA, 72 nt
Filed under: Rhipicephalus microplus (southern cattle tick)
Lineage: Eukaryota; Metazoa; Arthropoda; Arachnida; Ixodida; Ixodidae
Description: tRNA-Glu
Rfam family: tRNA
About the family: Transfer RNA (tRNA) molecules are approximately 80 nucleotides in length. Their secondary structure includes four short double-helical elements and three loops (D, anti-codon, and T loops).
Source: Rfam by way of RNAcentral